Molecule: long non-coding RNA, 5124 nt
Organism: Mesocricetus auratus (golden hamster)
Lineage: Eukaryota; Metazoa; Chordata; Mammalia; Rodentia; Cricetidae
Exons: 2
Source: RefSeq, a predicted model, not a curated record
GCAGACUGUCCUGCAGGCCCUGCAGACAGCCCACGCCACCCACUCCGCUCUCUCUCAGGAACAGACUGUUGCCGUGGCUGCUCAUCGCGUCUCUGCGGGGGACAGAGGAGACCAAGUCUGGGAUGCCUGAGACCCUCCCUGACCUGAAUCGGAUUCGAUUUUUAUCCUAGCAGCAAAAGGUGAAGGCUUUCGGACCCAAACACCAGAGAAGGUGGUUAGAGACAGGUAGGAGAAACACACACGCACGCACACGCACGCACACACAUACACACACACAGAACACUGCACACCUUUAAGGUUUUCUGCCUCCAGCCUUGUCCUCACUGAGAUCAUCUCAAGCAACUGCAGCUCUCAAACGAAAGCGCCAGGCCUUUGCUGAGUGCCCACUGCACGAAGAGCUCUUGAAAGGCACCUUUAAACUAGUCCCCCAACCACAGUAGUUGCGCGUACGGCCUGAAGACGCCCAUGGUCCACCCUUCACGAGGACAAAACCAACCAGUGCCUGGCAAACAGUGGCACCCAACUAAUGUGUGCAUCACCAGGAGAGCAAUGUGGUAAGGGGCGGGGGAUCCCUUGGGAAAGAAAUGAGGACAUUUCUAGUCCCAGCUUGACUGAUGAGCCUUCAUGAGCCUCUUUCGGAGUGAAACCUCAGACUUUGUUUCCCUCUUUUUGUCCAUGUCUAUUGCCUAUUUAUCCUUAUUGACUUCCUUUUUUUUUAAGGUAUCCAAAAUGGGAUGUUGCAUUUUCCGUAAUUUAAACAAAGUGAACAUAAAUAUAAAACCUGCCAAUCUGUUUAGCAGUCAAACACUUGGAAGUUACAAAACGGCGUAGAAACUGGCUUUCAACCCAGCCUUUGAGAGCCCUAUAAUAUUGGCUACUCUUGAGGGUGCUGGGGGAGGCAGGUUACAAGUUCAAGGCCAGCACCUGCAACGUAGUAGGACCCUGUGUCAAAUAAAAAGUUAAAAAGAGAGUUACUGGGCAAGGAUGGGAGAUGGCUCAGUGACUAAGGGUGAAUAUUAAUCCUGCAGAAGUUCCGUUCCCCGCACCCACAUCAGGUAGCUCAGAACUGCUGCGCCCCUCCUGGCCGCACUGGCACCUGCACUCACACGUACACACACAUACACUCUCUCUCUCUCUCUCUCUCUCUCUCUCUCUCUCUCUCUCUCUCAAACAGGAAAAUAAAAUUCUUUUUUAAAGAGGGCCAGACUACAUAGCUCAGGAUAGAGUGCUUGCCUGCCAUGUUCGGGGCCUAGGUUCAGGUCUUGGUACCGAUCCCCUCAGCUUCCCAAGUAGCUGGGAUGUCAGGCAUGCACCACCACGCGCAGCCUUGAACUCUUCCAGCAUUGUUUUGCGGCCACUACCCAAGACAGCCACUUGGGUAGUGCUGUCCUCUCUGUCUGUCUCAGUUCUCCACCGGCUUCCAAAAGACAGGCCACCUGACUGGGGUCUCCAUGCCCUGGAUCCAUGCCCUGCUUCUCAGUGUGGAUUUUGCUCUAAAUGGACUGGCCGCCCGAAGUCACGGUGUUGUUAUUGCCUUGCUCUGAACGCUCACAGACACCAAGCAGUCUUUCCUUCUCCUCUGGGAUAUCAUGUUCCCGGUUACCACAUGAUAACUGGAAAUCAGCCUGAAUCCCAAGAGCGUUCAAGUGAGUCCAGAGCAGUCAGGAACCUGGACACCCAACUCUUUUCCUUUCUCUGCCCUGCAAGCCAUGCGGUACAGUCCAGGCGGCUGGCUCUGCAGAUCCUUAAAUCAACCUCAGAUAAAACCAACACUGGAUGAAAAAUGUUCAGUGAGUCAAGCCAAGAGCUGCAUAUCCAUCAUCUCAGCACUCAGGGGCCUCAGACAGGGAAAGUGGGAGUUCAAGGCCAGCCUGGGUUGCAUAGAAAGACCCCGUAUCAAAAAAUCAAUCAGGUCAUAUCUAGCUGCAAGAGCUAUUGAUAGUUGAUGGGAUCCUGACAGAGAGGGGUGGUUUUCUUCAGUGGUGUGGCCGAGACAGGUUGCCCACGCUCCAGUGGGUGGUGCCUUGUACUCAUGGGCAUUGGGGCAGCACUAAAUGGACUCUCUGGAUUAUUUAGAGAAAGUGAAGAAGAGGAGGGAGCAACAUGAAGUUAGGAGGAGAAUGUGGGGGUGGGGAGAGGUCAGGAAGAGUUGAAGAGGAAGAGGAAGGAGAGGUAGAUGUGAUCUAAAUAUGUAUGUAUCCAUAUAUGAAAUUACCGAAGAAUACUUUUUAAGACUCAAUGGUAAGGCUGGAGAGAUGGUUCAUAGGUAAUGGCGCUUGCUGCUCUUUGAAAAGGACAAUGUUAGGUGGCUCACAGCCAGCUCUGUCUCAACGGUCACCUGACGUCAUGUGUGCACACCCACACAUGGACACACAUAACUGAAAAGAUAAAAAUAACCCAUUUUAUGUGUAUGAGUGUUUGACUCCAUGUGCAUGUGUGCACCGUGUGUGCACUAACCAUAGAGUUCAGAAAAGGACAUUGUCUGCCCUGGAGCUACAGGGAGUUGUGAGCCGUCCUGUGGGUGCUGGGAGCAGAAUCUCAGUCCUCUAUGCGAGCAAAAACACUCUUAAAGUUUAAACCAUUUCUUCUAAUCAAUGGUAGUGUAAGCUUAGUUGAUGAAGUUGUUCAAUUUGCAUCUGUACUAGACAUGAAAAGACUUUUCCUCUUAUUCCCUAAACAACACAGCAUAGCAACUACAUGCACAGUAUUGAGUUGUGCUAGGUUAUUAUAUUUAUUAUUCUUUCUUCUCUCUCUCUCUCUCUCUCUCUCUCUCUCUCUGUGUGUGUGUGUGUGUGUGUGUGUGUGUUGGUGGGGUGGCCAGAGGACAAUUUUUGGAGAUCCAUUCUCUCCUCCACCAUGUAAGUCCCCGGGAUUGAACUCAGAACUUCAGGCUUGGUGGAAAGCACCUUUACCCAUUGUGCUAGGUAUUUAACGUAAUGUAGAAAUGAGUUAAAUAUGAGAGAGGACAGGAAAGGACUCCAUGCAAAUAUAAUGCCAUUGUAUGUAAAAGACUCUCACAUACUAGGGUUUUGGAGUCCACCCAGGGUGGAAGGUGUGCCUGGAACAAAUUCCCUAAGGAGACCUAAAAGCUGGAUAGUGUGGGAGUUGACAUGUGGUAGUCUGUGACUCAAACCUGGCCUAACGUCUGUGGGGUUGACACUUUUAAAUCACGGUGUUGGCACAAAGCUGUGCUCAUUCGUUGCGAAUUUCUGCAGGUGCUUCCGAGCUACAGUGGCAAAGGCGGGUUGCUGAAAUAGGGUCACAAAACAACCCAUUUACAAAGGAGACUCUGACUUUGUAAAAGUGGGGGCGACGGGUAAAGAGGAUUGCUGCCAACCUGGAUGGCCCAACUUCAAUCCUGGACCCACACAAGGAAAGGAGAGAAUUAAUUCCCACAAGUUGUCCUCUGACUUGUGCAUGCUGAGGGUGCUCGCGCGCGUGCUCGCACACACACACACACUGAAUAAAUGUGAUAAUUAAAAAAGAAGAAGACUGUAGCCUAGCAAAGCAGAUGUGAGCGCCGGAGUAGUGAGGGCCUGAGGGCGCAGGAGUAGAGCUUCUGUAAGUGUGUGAGGCCCUGAGUUCCUUCCCAGCGCUGCCCUGCUGCCGGGAGAAAAGCCAGCAAGUAGCAAUUGAAAAACAAUGAAACAAAUAAGCAAGCAGAGAUCCAAAAGAUAUGAGGCUGAGCUCAAAGACAAGGCUGUCUUCCACACUUUCACCAUUGUAAAUCCCUAUAAAUGCCGAUAGCUGUGGUUUGCCACUAUGUAAUUCUUCGAUUUUAUCUCAGUGGACAUGGGAUCAUUGACCCCACCCACAGGGCACAGUGAAACCUUUCAGAGCAUGGAAUGUGGUGCAGAUGUCAAACCAAGCCCCCCUUGGCACUUUCAUCUGCAUUAGCCAGGAGCAUUCGAACUCCUGUCGCCUAGUCCUUUACAGGAGAAUAAACUGUUGAACAAUAUCAUCACCCUCCCCUGCCCUGUCUCCCCUCUCAUCAUCACUAUUUCUCUCUCUAUUUGUUCAAGGUCAAGAUCUGUAGCUUGCAUGUGAGUGAGACCACACAGCAUUUGACUUUGUGUGCCUAGCUUAUAAAAUUAACAAUAAUCGUUUGGGAGAAAUGGUGUGCUGAAACUGAGUUCUUUGCAUGCUUAUUAAAGUGUAAUAAAUGUUUAAAAAAAACAUUUUCUAACACUUGAAAGUAUCCUUCGCCUGGGCCUUCCUGGAGCUCUUAGGACUCUAGAGCUGUCGGGCAUGUCUCUUUCCAGGAACCAGUUCCGGUUUCUUCUGGUUCUAGGCCUUCUCUUGGCCCCUGGCUCCUGGACUACCUAUUCUAGAAAUGGCCUUUCCAGGAUCUCCAAUCUCUGCAAGGUACAGGGUUAAAGGAUGGGUCUCUCCCCUUGUCCCCUCAACUCUCAAGUGUCAUGAACCAUACAAGCCACCCCUUGGAAAUAAGGGCAAGACAAGAAAGUCCUUCUGACCCCUAAAGCUCAAACAAGUGUCGACUUUCAAGACCAAGAAGAGGUCUUUGAAAGUGAAGGGUUUGCCUCACUCUACAGAUGACACCCGAAGCUAAGGGCCCCCUGCAGUAUGGCCAGAAAGCAGUGGGGGAAAAGACCCCAGGAGCUCUAAAGGGGCCAUGGUGUGUCAUAAUAGGCCCCGAGGGAGAAGAAAUGUGUGUUUCUAAUGCUGACCAUACAUUGGCUAUAGAUGUGCAAUGGCAUCAACUCCACAAUUGGCCAUUGUCCUGAGACAGAAGGUUGAUCCAAAAACAGAUUUUUGUGAGCCUGACCUGGGGAUGCAUGGCUGUAGUCCCAGCACUUGAGAAACAGCAGCAGAAUGCCAUGUAUGUGUUCAGGCCAGCCUGUACUAUACAGGGAGCUCUUGUCUUCUAACAGAGAGAGAGAGAGAGAGAGAGAGAGAGAGAGAGAGAGAGAGAGAGAGAGAGAGAGAGAGAAGAAGAAGAAGAAGAAGAAGAGGAAGAGGAGGAAGAGGAAGAGGAAGAAGAAGGAGAAGAAGAAAGAGAAAGAGAAGGAGGGAGGGUUUGUUGGUACUUUGUAACCAAAUCAGAAUUUGAUGCAGUCUUGGGGGUUAACUUCAAUCUUCAGAAAAGGAAUACAUAGAAAAGGA